GACGAACGCUGGCGGCGUGCUUAACACAUGCAAGUCGAACGCUGAAGCUUGGUGCUUGCACUGGGUGGAUGAGUGGCGAACGGGUGAGUAAUACGUGAGUAACCUGCCCUUGACUCUGGGAUAAGCCUGGGAAACUGGGUCUAAUACUGGAUACGACAUGCCACUGCAUGGUGGUGUGUGGAAAGGGUUUUACUGGUUUUGGAUGGGCUCACGGCCUAUCAGCUUGUUGGUGGGGUAAUGGCCUACCAAGGCGACGACGGGUAGCCGGCCUGAGAGGGUGACCGGCCACACUGGGACUGAGACACGGCCCAGACUCCUACGGGAGGCAGCAGUGGGGAAUAUUGCACAAUGGGCGGAAGCCUGAUGCAGCGACGCCGCGUGAGGGAUGACGGCCUUCGGGUUGUAAACCUCUUUCAGCAGGGAAGAAGCGAGAGUGACGGUACGUGCAGAAGAAGCGCCGGCUAACUACGUG
This 472-nucleotide ribosomal RNA is filed under the name uncultured bacterium. Its description in RNAcentral is "partial 16S ribosomal RNA". It matches the Rfam family "Bacterial small subunit ribosomal RNA", at positions 28 to 507 of the family's 1533-position model. The record is from RNAcentral.